RNAcentral lists this transfer RNA (76 nucleotides) under Rubrivivax sp. RNAcentral describes it as "tRNA-Ala". It matches the Rfam family "tRNA". From Rfam's summary of the family: Transfer RNA (tRNA) molecules are approximately 80 nucleotides in length. Their secondary structure includes four short double-helical elements and three loops (D, anti-codon, and T loops). Further hydrogen bonds mediate the characteristic L-shaped molecular structure. tRNAs have two regions of fundamental functional importance: the anti-codon, which is responsible for specific mRNA codon recognition, and the 3' end, to which the tRNAs corresponding amino acid is attached (by aminoacyl-tRNA synthetases). tRNAs cope with the degeneracy of the genetic code in two manners: having more than one tRNA (with a specific anti-codon) for a particular amino acid; and 'wobble' base-pairing, i.e. permitting non-standard base-pairing at the 3rd anti-codon position. Lineage: Bacteria; Pseudomonadati; Pseudomonadota; Betaproteobacteria; Burkholderiales; Sphaerotilaceae. The record is from RNAcentral.
GGGGACGUAGCUCAGCUGGGAGAGCGUCGCGUUCGCAAUGCGAAGGUCAGGAGUUCGAUCCUCCUCGUCUCCACCA